Molecule: ribosomal RNA, 235 nt
Filed under: uncultured bacterium
Lineage: Bacteria
Description: partial 16S ribosomal RNA
Rfam family: Bacterial small subunit ribosomal RNA
Source: RNAcentral
CGGACGGGUGAGUAAUGUCUGGGAAACGUGCCUGAUGGAGGGGGAUAACUACUGGAAACGGUAGCUAAUACCGCAUAACCGUCGCAAGACCAAAGAGGGGGACCGUUCGGGCCUCUUGCCAUCGGAUGUGCCCAGAUGGGAUUAGCUAGUAGGUGGGGUAACGGCUCACCUAGGCGACGAUCCCUAGCUGGUCUGAGAGGAUGACCAGCCACACUGGAACUGAGACACGGUCCAG